UACGUAGGGGGCAAGCGUUGUCCGGAAUUAUUGGGCGUAAAGAGCGCGUAGGCGGUCCGGUAAGUCGGUUGUGAAAGUCGGGGGCUCAACCCUCGGAUGCCGAUCGAUACUGUCGGGCUAGAGUCCGGAAGAGGCGAGUGGAAUUCCUGGUGUAGCGGUGAAAUGCGCAGAUAUCGGGAAGAACACCUAUGGCGAAGGCAGCUCGCUGGGACGGUACUGACGCUGAGACGCGAAAGCGUGGGGAGCAAACAGG
RNAcentral lists this ribosomal RNA (253 nucleotides) under uncultured bacterium. RNAcentral's name for it is "partial 16S ribosomal RNA". It matches the Rfam family "Bacterial small subunit ribosomal RNA", at positions 524 to 776 of the family's 1533-position model. The record is from RNAcentral.